CCUACGGGAGGCUGCAGUGGGGAAUAUUGCACAAUGGGGGGAACCCUGAUGCAGCAACGCCGCGUGGGUGAAGAAGUACUCCGGUAUGUAAAGUCCUGUCAGCAGGGAAGAAAAUGACGGUACCUGACCAAGAAGCCCCGGCUAACUACGUGCCAGCAGCCGCGGUAAUACGUAGGGGGCAAGCGUUAUCCGGAUUUACUGGGUGUAAAGGGAGCGUAGACGGCAAGGCAAGUCUGGAGUGAAAGCCCGGGGCCCAACCACGGGACUGCUUUGGAAACUGUGUUGCUGGAGUGCAGGAGGGGUAAGCGGAAUGCAUGGUGUAGCGGUGAAAUGCGUAGAUAUUAGGAGGAACACCGGUGGCGAAGGCGGCUUACUGGACUGUAACUGACGUUGAGGCUCGAAGGCGUGGGGAGCAAACAGGAUUAGAUACCCUAGUAGUC
Molecule: ribosomal RNA, 440 nt
Filed under: uncultured bacterium
Lineage: Bacteria
Description: partial 16S ribosomal RNA
Rfam family: Bacterial small subunit ribosomal RNA
Source: RNAcentral